This 1432-nucleotide ribosomal RNA is filed under the name Mammaliicoccus sciuri. RNAcentral's name for it is "bacterial SSU rRNA". It matches the Rfam family "Bacterial small subunit ribosomal RNA". Lineage: Bacteria; Bacillati; Bacillota; Bacilli; Caryophanales; Staphylococcaceae. The record is from RNAcentral.
UGCUAUAAUGCAGUCGAGCGAACAGAUGAGAAGCUUGCUUCUCUGAUGUUAGCGGCGGACGGGUGAGUAACACGUGGGUAACCUACCUAUAAGACUGGGAUAACUCCGGGAAACCGGGGCUAAUACCGGAUAAUAUUUUGAACCGCAUGGUUCAAUAGUGAAAGACGGUUUCGGCUGUCACUUAUAGAUGGACCCGCGCCGUAUUAGCUAGUUGGUAAGGUAAUGGCUUACCAAGGCGACGAUACGUAGCCGACCUGAGAGGGUGAUCGGCCACACUGGAACUGAGACACGGUCCAGACUCCUACGGGAGGCAGCAGUAGGGAAUCUUCCGCAAUGGGCGAAAGCCUGACGGAGCAACGCCGCGUGAGUGAUGAAGGUCUUCGGAUCGUAAAACUCUGUUGUUAGGGAAGAACAAAUUUGUUAGUAACUGAACAAGUCUUGACGGUACCUAACCAGAAAGCCACGGCUAACUACGUGCCAGCAGCCGCGGUAAUACGUAGGUGGCAAGCGUUAUCCGGAAUUAUUGGGCGUAAAGCGCGCGUAGGCGGUUUCUUAAGUCUGAUGUGAAAGCCCACGGCUCAACCGUGGAGGGUCAUUGGAAACUGGGAAACUUGAGUGCAGAAGAGGAGAGUGGAAUUCCAUGUGUAGCGGUGAAAUGCGCAGAGAUAUGGAGGAACACCAGUGGCGAAGGCGGCUCUCUGGUCUGUAACUGACGCUGAUGUGCGAAAGCGUGGGGAUCAAACAGGAUUAGAUACCCUGGUAGUCCACGCCGUAAACGAUGAGUGCUAAGUGUUAGGGGGUUUCCGCCCCUUAGUGCUGCAGCUAACGCAUUAAGCACUCCGCCUGGGGAGUACGACCGCAAGGUUGAAACUCAAAGGAAUUGACGGGGACCCGCACAAGCGGUGGAGCAUGUGGUUUAAUUCGAAGCAACGCGAAGAACCUUACCAAAUCUUGACAUCCUUUGACCGCUCUAGAGAUAGAGUCUUCCCCUUCGGGGGACAAAGUGACAGGUGGUGCAUGGUUGUCGUCAGCUCGUGUCGUGAGAUGUUGGGUUAAGUCCCGCAACGAGCGCAACCCUUAAGCUUAGUUGCCAUCAUUAAGUUGGGCACUCUAGGUUGACUGCCGGUGACAAACCGGAGGAAGGUGGGGAUGACGUCAAAUCAUCAUGCCCCUUAUGAUUUGGGCUACACACGUGCUACAAUGGAUAAUACAAAGGGCAGCGAAUCCGCGAGGCCAAGCAAAUCCCAUAAAAUUAUUCUCAGUUCGGAUUGUAGUCUGCAACUCGACUACAUGAAGCUGGAAUCGCUAGUAAUCGUAGAUCAGCAUGCUACGGUGAAUACGUUCCCGGGUCUUGUACACACCGCCCGUCACACCACGAGAGUUUGUAACACCCGAAGCCGGUGGAGUAACCUUUUAGGAGCUAGCCGUCGAA